GAUGAACGCUGGCGGCGUGCCUAAUACAUGCAAGUCGAACGCUUCGAUUUAUCGAAGAGUGGCGAACGGGUGAGUAAUACAUAAGUAACCUGCCCUUAACAGGGGGAUAACUACUAGAAAUGGUAGCUAAGACCGCAUAGGUGGAUUGAUCGCAUGAUCGAUUCAUUAAAAGACCUUUCAAGGUCUGGAUAAGGAUGGACUUAUGUUGCAUUAGCUAGUUGGUAAGGUAACGGCUUACCAAGGCGACGAUGCGUAGCCGGCCUGAGAGGGUGAACGGCCACAUUGGGACUGAGACACGGCCCAAACUCCUACGGGAGGCAGCAGUAGGGAAUUUUCGGCAAUGGGGGAAACCCUGACCGAGCAACGCCGCGUGAAGGAAGAAGGAAUUCGUUUCGUAAACUUCUGUUAUAAAGGAAGAAAGAUGAUAUCAGGAAAUGGAUGUCAAGUGACGGUACUUUAUGAGAAAGCCACGGCUAACUACGUGCCAGCAGCCGCGGUAAUACGUAGGUGGCAAGCGUUAUCCGGAAUUAUUGGGCGUAAAGAGGGAGCAGGCGGUAACAAAGGUCUGUGGUGAAAGCCUGAAGCUUAACUUCAGUAAGCCAUAGAAACCAGGUAACUAGAGUGCAAGAGAGGAUCGUGGAAUUCCAUGUGUUGCGGUGAAAUGCGUAGAUAUAUGGAGGAACACCAGUGGCGAAGGCGACGAUCUGGCUUGUAACUGACGCUGAGUCCCGAAAGCGUGGGGAGCAAAUA
RNAcentral lists this ribosomal RNA (750 nucleotides) under uncultured Clostridium sp. Its description in RNAcentral is "bacterial SSU rRNA". It matches the Rfam family "Bacterial small subunit ribosomal RNA", at positions 28 to 774 of the family's 1533-position model. The record is from RNAcentral. Lineage: Bacteria; Bacillati; Bacillota; Clostridia; Eubacteriales; Clostridiaceae.